This 2991-nucleotide long non-coding RNA is filed under the name Canis lupus familiaris (dog). RNAcentral's name for it is "lncRNA (ENSCAFG00000053042.1)". The record is from RNAcentral. Lineage: Eukaryota; Metazoa; Chordata; Mammalia; Carnivora; Canidae.
CACCAGGAUUAAUAAUAUUAGUGUCUAUAGUUUAUGAAAUGUCAAGAUAAUUGAAGUUAUGCUAUUAUUCAUAAGUACUAAUACUUUAAAAUCUCAGCCACUGAUUUGACUGUGAGCAUAUGAAUGGCAUAUUUGGAAGAGAAGUUGAUAUUCAUAUUUUAAAAUGACUCCAAAUUUUUUAUUUUGGGAGAAAAGUAUUUACUACACAUAAUUAUUCUACACUUACUACUAAUCAAGUGUUCUAUAAUUACUUUAUGCAUUUAAAAGCUUGUGCAAAGGACCACACAUGAGAAGGAAUGGCAUAGGUUUUUCACUGAAUUGCUAGAUGGUCAGCCUAGAGGGUAAGAGGUAAUUGGAAUAAAACCUGUAAAUCAUAAAAGGCAUUGUAAUUUAAAUUAAAGAGUACAUACUUUACCUAAAGGCAAAGAAGAGCAGUUGAAAAGUUUUAAUUUAAAUAGAGUAACAGUUUCAGGUUAGAGUUUUAGGGACAUACAAGCAGAAUGUGCAGAAUAAAAUUGAAGAAAGAAAAUCCAAAGUAGGAAGAACAGUUAGGAUAUUGCAUUAAUGAGUGAGAACUGACUGGAUAGCGAUAUAAAGGUAAAGGGCAGAAGAACAAAACUAGAUCAUUCUCUUACACCAUACACAAAGAUAAACUCAAAAUGGAUGAAAGAUCUAAAUGUGAGACAAGAAUCCAUCAGAAUCCUAGAGGAGAACACAGGCAAAAGCCUUUUGUAACUUGACCACAGUAAUUUUUUGCAAGAUACAUCUAUGAAGGCAAAGGAAAUAAAAGCAAAAAUGAACUACUGGGACUUAAUCGGAAUAAAAAGCUUCUGCACAGUAUAAGAAACAGUCAACAAAACUAAAAGGCAACCUACAGAAUGGGAGAGGAUAUUUGCAAAUGACAUAUCAGAUAAAGAGCUAGCAUCCAAGAUCUAUAAUGAACUUAUUAAACUCAACAUCCAAGAAACAAACAAUCCAAUCAGGAAAUGGGCAGAAGACAUGAAUAGAAACUUCACCAAAGAAGACAUACCCAUGGCCAACAAGCAUAUGAGAAAAUGCUCCUCAUCACUUGCCAUCAGGGAAAUACAAAUCAAAAUCACCAUGAGAUACCACUUCACACCAGUGAGAAUGGCGAAAAUCAGCAAGACAGGAAACAACAAAUGUUGGCAAGGAUAUGGAGAAGGGGGAGCCCUCUUGUACUGUUGGUGGGAAUGCAAACUGGUACAGCCACUCUGGAAAACUGUGUGGAAGUUUCUCAAAGAGUUAAAAAUAGAGCUACCCAACAACCCAGCAAUUGCACUAUUCAUCCCAAAGAUACAGAUGCAGUAAAACACUAAGACACCUGCACCCCAAUGUUCAUAGCAGCAAUGUCCACAAUAGCCAAACUGUGGAAAGACCUUCGAUGUCCUUCAACAGAUGAAUGGAUAAAGAAGAUGUGGUAUAUGUAUACAAUGGAAUAUUACUCAGCCAUUAGAAACAACGAAUAGCCACCAUUUGCUCGACAUGGAUGGAACUGGAGGGUAUUAUGCUGAGUGAAGCAAGUAAAUUGGAGAACAAUCAUCAUAUGGUUUCACUCAUACAGGGAACAUAAGAAAUAGUGGUAGGGGUUAUAAGGGAAAAUGAGUGGGAAAAAUUAGAGAGGGUGACAAAACAUGAGAGACUCCUAACUCUGGGAAAUGAACAAAGGGUAGUGAGGGGAGGCAGGCGAGGGGAUGGGGUGACUGGGUGACAGGCACUGAGGAGGGAACUUGAUGGGAUGAUCACUGGGUGUGAUACUUAAGUUGGCAAAUUGAAGGAAGGAAAGGAUGGAAAGGAAGGGGGGAGAGGGGGAGAGGGGGAGGAGAAGGGAGAGGGACAGAAAGAAAGAGAGAGAGAGAGAAAGAAAAGAAAAGAAAAGAAAAGAGAAAGAAAGAAAGAGGAAAGAAAGAAAAAAGAAAGAAAAGAAAGAAAAGAAAAAGAAAAGAAAGAAAAAGAAAGAAAGAAAAGAAAGAAAAAGAAAAGAAGAAAAGAAAAGAAAGAAGAAAAGAAAAAAAGAAAAGAAAAGAAAAGAAAAGAAAAGAAAAGAAAAGAAAAGAAAAGAAAAGAAAAGAAAAGAAAAGAAAAGAAAAGAUCGAUCCGUGGCCAGGUUCCAUUUUAUGAAGCCCUACAGGAUCUAUUUCUCUGCAGCUGCAAAGGGGAUUUCCCUCACCUGCACUAAAAAAGGUCUGGGUUUUCAAGCCUUGAUGCUGGCAUUUCGCUAGUUGGUAACCACCAAUAGAAGCAGGCCUGAGAAUGAAAUGUUGACAUGGAGAAGGGAAAAGCAGAUUACUACUAAGAGACGUAUGAGUUGUCAGAAUAAAUUACCAGCUACUUUGAAGUGGAGGAAAGCAUACCAUGCGGCAGCCUCCACGUUACCUCAUCUGCGGAGUGGUGCAUCUUUGCUUGCCUUUAAAUCAUUAGGCUAUUUUACAGCUUGAUAGAGAUAGAAUGUAAGCGGCAGAUAUCAAUAAAAUGCAAAGGAUUCCAGGUGACAAGUGUGAAAACGAAGGUGGGGAAGAGUGAGCUGGCCUCAGUCGCCUUGUCAUCCUCCAAAGCUCAUCAGAUAGACAAGUGAGCUAUAUUUGAUAUAGCUCCAUGCAAGGAGCUUCCAGGCCUCUCUGUGAAAUUCUGUGGUUUGGAAAUUUAAGAGUCAGCAUCGAUAUAGGACUUUAAUCCAAAGCUGCCAAGUGAGGACUACAAUUGAAGACGAAUACUCUGAAGAAUCAGGAGACUCGGGCUCUACUAUCCAGCUGCCACUGCCACUCUUCACAAAUAAAAAUCAUUCAUUCAACAACAACAAGAAGAAUGGGAGAGAAGCACAGCAAAUUCUUGUAGACUUGCCCUGAGAAAGAUACUAAGAUUGGGGCUGCAGGUAAAAAGAGUGGUUCGGUUUCUGUGGGUUUUUCCUUUAAAUAUAAAAGGGAUUCUAGUCAAUAUGCCAUAUGCCAUAAUGUUUAAAAAAAAAAAAAAAAA